AGAGUUUGAUCAUGGCUCAGGACCAACGCUGGCGGCGUGCGUAACACAUGCAAGUCGGACGCAGCAGGGGGCAACCUCUGGCUGCGUGGCGGACGGGUGAGGAACACGUGAGGAACCUGGCCGUGAGUGGGGGACAACCUGCAGAAAUGCGGGCUAAUCCCGCAUACGUCUUCUGUCGGAGGAGGCAGGAGGGAAAGCUCGAAAGAGCGCUCGCGGAGGGGCUUGCGGCCGAUUAGCUAGUUGGUGUGGUAAGAGCGCACCAAGGCGACGAUCGGUAGCUGGUCUGAGAGGACGAGCAGCCACACUGGGAUUGAGAACGGCCCAGACUCCUACGGGGGGCAGCAGUGAGGAAUCUUCGGCAAUGGGGGAAACCCUGACCGAGCGACGCCGCGUGCGGGAAGACGGCCUUCGGGUUGUAAACCGCUUUUCUGGGGGACGAGAAGCAGGACGGUACCCCAGGAAGAAGCCUCGGCUAACUACGUGCCAGCAGCCGCGGUAAUACGUAGGAGGCGAGCGUUGUCCGGAGUUACUGGGCGUAAAGGGUGCGCAGGCGGUGGUGCGCGUGGAUAGAUGAAAUCUCCUGGCUUACCUGGGAGGGUGGUAUCCAGACGGCAUCACUUGAGGGUCGGAGAGGGGCGUGGAAUUCCGGGUGGAGCGGUGAAAUGCGUAGAGAUCCGGAGGAACACCGACGGCGUAGGCAGCGCCCUGGACGACACCUGACGCUGAGGCACGAAAGCUGGGGGAGCGAACAGGAUUAGAUACCCUAGUAGUCC
Molecule: ribosomal RNA, 773 nt
Filed under: uncultured bacterium
Lineage: Bacteria
Description: bacterial SSU rRNA
Rfam family: Bacterial small subunit ribosomal RNA
Source: RNAcentral